This 482-nucleotide ribosomal RNA is filed under the name uncultured bacterium. RNAcentral's name for it is "partial 16S ribosomal RNA". It matches the Rfam family "Bacterial small subunit ribosomal RNA", at positions 30 to 507 of the family's 1533-position model. The record is from RNAcentral.
AUUGAACGCUGGCGGCAUGCCUUACACAUGCAAGUCGAACGGUAACAGGUCUUCUUAUGCUGACGAGUGGCUAACGGGUGGGUAAUACAUCGGAACGUGCCCAGACGUGGGGGAUAACGAGGCGAAAGCUUUCCUAAUACCUCAUACGAUCUAAGGAUGAAAGCAGGGGACCGCAAGGCCUUGCUCGUUUGGAGCGGCCGAUGGCAGAUUAGGUAGUUGGUGGGAUAAAAGCUUACCAAGCCGACGAUCUGUAGCUGGUCUGAGAGGACGACCAGCCACACGGGGACUGAGACACGGCCCAGACUCCUACGGGAGGCAGCAGUGGGGAAUUUUGGACAAUGGGCGAAAGCCUGAUCCAGCAAUGCCGCGUGCAGGAUGAAGGCCUUCGGGUUGUAAACUGCUUUUGUACGGAACGAAAAGGCUCUGGCUAAUACCUGGGGCACAUGACGGUACCGUAAGAAUAAGCACCGGCUAACUACGUG